This 891-nucleotide long non-coding RNA is filed under the name Eptatretus burgeri (inshore hagfish). RNAcentral's name for it is "lncRNA (ENSEBUG00000017254.1)". Lineage: Eukaryota; Metazoa; Chordata; Myxini; Myxiniformes; Myxinidae. The record is from RNAcentral.
GGAUGAGACUUUUGAGAUGGGCGGGGAUGGAGCGGACGGGUUAAAAGGGCUGGAGAAGGAAUGAGGAAGCAGAGAACCGGUGAACGAAGGGAUGAGAAAGGGGCAGAGAGUUUCACAGCCUGGGCGGGGGCAGCGUUUUGGAGGAUAAUAAAAGCGCAGAACGAGAGAGAUAAUGGGCGGAGAGUGGGAAAGUGAUUGAUGGAGGAGCACAGAGACUCUGAAGGAGUAAAACAAGAGCAAGAGCUACGGAGGUUCUGACGCGGCGCGGAUGCUUGACCGAUCACUUGUCCGCAACGAACUGCGGUGCUGUGCGAAAAGGUGUCUUUUUGGCACCCAAGUUACUCUGCAGACAUUUAAAGUCAUCCACCAAAUGAGGAUUGCAGACCAAAUGCAGAGCACACCAAGCAGGACAGGGCGAAAACCUCUUCCCUCAAGGGCAACUGCUGCAUGGCUUGUCCUUGGGGUCAGUUUCUUCUCUUACAAUGUUUUGCCGACAAUAUCGCUGUACUUCCAUCCGCAACAGAGCAAGUGGAGGCAUCAAUUUGUCUUCCAUCCCUUGGCUGGAUGCAAAAUUGGAGGGCCCAUCUGCCAACAAUGAUUGUUGUGGAUGUUCAAGAUCCCACAGUGUCUUUCCCAAAGAGUAGGGGUUUCAAGCCAUUACCAAUUCCACCGCGAGACGAAUUUCCCACGGGCAGGGAGUCCGAGGGAGCUGUGGAUGCCAGCAGGCCAUGGAGAUGGGCAAGAAUCUGGCGAUGGAUGUCGUUUGCCCUUUCUGAGCCUCAGCAGCACAAAAGCACAAGUGCAACGGCAAGAGAGGAGGUUCUGCUGAGUACAGCAUGUCCAUUUGAUAUGGAUACGAAGCCUGGGUCUUGCUCUGCUCGGACUCCUUAA